GCAGGGCCCGCCCCUCCCCGGCAGCCCAAGGGGCGGAGACAAAACAACCCCCGGCCCCACCCCCAGCAGCCUCCCCCACCCAAAGCAGAAGCUGGGCCUGAGGUUCAGAGAGGGGAGCAGGACAGGCAGGGCGGAGGGUGGGGGCCGGUCGGAGAGUCGGGGCCGCGCUGCAUCGGGCCAGCGUCCAGAAGGGCAAAGAAGGUGCUCAUAGCAGCUACCCCGUCGGCUGCGGUCUCUGCUCCCAGAAACGGUAUUGAAACAAGGUGGUUUCGAGGCUCACAUUCCUGCCCUCCUGCUUCAUGUGAGGUACGAAGCCCCAACUCGCCCCUGUCUGACGUGGGCAGGCGCGCUCGCAGGCCCGGGCACGAGGCAGGCAGGUGGGCCGCCCGUCUCCGGAGCCCCGCACAGACGCGUUCACAGAAAGGUGUGCAGGGAAGCAGCCAGCCCUGCAGGUGGGCCUCGUGACGCACCCCACCCACCCCUGCGAGCCUGUCUGUCCUCAGGCUGUGUCCCAGGGGCCCUGCCCGUGCUGGGGGCCCCCUGGAGUGGGGGCGGCUCUAGCCGGAGGUGGACGGGGUUGUCCGCUUAAGCACCAACUCCAGCGGGCUCUGUCCGGGCGGAAGACAGGAAGGGGUCACUGGGUCUGGGGAGCUGUUGGACACUGAGGGGCCUGAGAACAGGCUUCAUGCGGAGGGUGUGAAAUUUGAGGACAGACGGCUGGUGGCCCUGGAGCAAACGGAGUCUGGGCACCCCCGGCACCCGCAGGCAGUCCUGUCCGUCUGCCCUUCUGCCUCGCGCUCUUUAUGUAACAACGCAGGCUCCCGGGACCGCCACUGCCCCUACCCUUUCCUCCCGACCUGACCGUAUGGGCUCCUGCCAGGCCCCACGCGAGGCCCCUGGUCUGAGCUCCGGUCAGCCAGACGUGUCCUGCCCAGGCUGAGAUCCAGGAGGAGGUCAGGGGGCUCUGGCCCUGAGGGGCGGUGGUGUCCACGGGGGAGACCCCAUGCCAGGCAUGAAUGUGGAAUCGAUUUCUUCCACCUAGUUUAUCAAGGACCUGUAUUUACUGAGAGAUGAGCAGGAAAAAGUUCUUGUUCUCAAGUGCUUACAGUUUCAUGAGAGACAAUGAAAAAUUAAAUUUCCAUAUGUUUUAUACGAGAUGGGGACACACAGUCCUACAAAGAGUAGACCAGAGUGAGGUAGAUGGGAUGCUGAGGGGGCUCCUUAUGAAGUCCAUUUCAACAAAGCCCCAAAAUGGGUAAGGAAUGAGCAUUCUGGGAGGAGAACAGCAGGUGCAAAGGCCCUGAGGCAGCAGCUCUGGUCAGGGUCCACGUGGAGGGUGGAGGACAGUGAAGUAAGGAGGAGGAAGAGGUGUUCACCCCCAGCAUUGCUCCCCCAGGGACAGGGUCCUAGGGGGUACUGUGUCGAGCCCGAGAGCCCCCCCUCACCUCUGUCACUGACAGGCUGGGCAGCACAGCUUCCGGGUGGGGCGAAGGGAAGUUCAGCAAACAGCACCCCCUGCCUCCACUUUGCUGCUGGAAACACUGAGGACUGGAUACGGACAAUAGAUUCCGAGUGGCCGAGGCUACUUUUCUGAAUGCUGUGUCCCCAGGCUGGAGUAACAGCCAAGAGGAAGUCCCUCGCCUGGCCCCGGCCAGGCCCCUCCGCGGUCCCUGGGCAGCCCCUCCCCACCCUGCCCAGGGACCCCCUGCCGGCUGCCCUGCCCGUGACUUUAGGAGUUGGCCAUGGGGCCGAAGGGCCUGGGUACGGGGCGCAGGCUGCCUGGCCCGCCACCCCCAGAGCCACCUCCCACAGCCCCACGGACACGGCAGGGAAGGUCCCGCGGCCACGGGCCUGGCAUUGGCCUCUGCCCAGCACCUUCCACAGACCGCCCCACCUCCAGGCCGAGCGCUGCCCAGAGGCUCUCAUCUCCGACCCUGCCCGGGCUCGAGCUCCCUCACACCAGGCAGAGCGCCCCCCCACCCCCCCUUCAGCAUCUGUAAGACAACGGAUGCCUUUUCCCGAAGAUGGCUCUUCAGGGAAAAUGCACCCCUCUCCAACUCGGGUAGUUUCUCCUGACCGGCUUUACCCCUGGGGGGCCCAAACACCUGCUCUUGGGGAAGGGCCUACCCUGGCUGGUUGGGCCCCCCGGCACCAGGUGGAGCAGGGGUCUCACCCUCACGGAGUAACAGCAGUUGAUGGAAGAUGCUGGAAGGGAGUCCCUUUCCCGCCUUGGCCAGCCCGCCGGCCAGCCGCUGUUGUUUCUCUAAAGAUAAACUGUUUCACUUUGAACUUC
Neofelis nebulosa (Clouded leopard) is the source of this 2293-nucleotide long non-coding RNA. RefSeq lists it as uncharacterized. The transcript has 2 exons. The record is from RefSeq and is a predicted model, not a curated record. Lineage: Eukaryota; Metazoa; Chordata; Mammalia; Carnivora; Felidae.